GACGAACGCUGGCGGCGUGCUUAACACAUGCAAGUCGAGCGGAAAGGCCCUUUCGGGGGUACUCGAGCGGCGAACGGGUGAGUAACACGUGAGUAAUCUGCCCUGGACUUCGGGAUAGCCCACCGAAAGGUGGAUUAAUACCGGAUAUGACGCGCUCUCGCAUGGGGGUGUGUGGAAAGUUUUUUCGGUUCAGGAUGUGCUCGCGGCCUAUCAGCUUGAUGGUGAGGUAAUGGCUCACCAUGGCUUCGACGGGUAGCCGGCCUGAGAGGGUGACCGGCCACACUGGGACUGAGACACGGCCCAGACUCCUACGGGAGGCAGCAGUGGGGAAUAUUGGACAAUGGGCGGAAGCCUGAUCCAGCAACGCCGCGUGAGGGAUGACGGCCUUCGGGUUGUAAACCUCUUUCAGUACCGACGAAGCGCAAGUGACGGUAGGUACAGAAGAAGCACCGGCCAACUACGUGCCAGCAGCCGCCGUAAC
RNAcentral lists this ribosomal RNA (481 nucleotides) under uncultured bacterium. RNAcentral's name for it is "bacterial SSU rRNA". It matches the Rfam family "Bacterial small subunit ribosomal RNA", at positions 28 to 524 of the family's 1533-position model. The record is from RNAcentral.